RNAcentral lists this ribosomal RNA (216 nucleotides) under uncultured bacterium. Its description in RNAcentral is "partial 16S ribosomal RNA". It matches the Rfam family "Bacterial small subunit ribosomal RNA", at positions 118 to 351 of the family's 1533-position model. The record is from RNAcentral.
UGGAUAUCUGCCUUUUGGUUCGGAAUAACCCCGGGAAACUGGGGCUAAUACCGGAUAGUUCCUUCGGGAUAAAGAUUUAUCGCCAAAAGAUGAGUCCGCGUACGAUUAGCUAGUUGGUGAGGUAAUGGCUCACCAAGGCGACGAUCGUUAGCUGGUCUGAGAGGACGAUCAGCCACACUGGGACUGAGACACGGCCCAGACUCCUACGGGAGGCAG